GGUGCUGUAGCUCAAUGGUAGAGCGCUUGCCUAGCAUGGGUGGCAAUAGGUUUGAUCCUCAGCACCA
Molecule: non-coding RNA, 67 nt
Organism: Ictidomys tridecemlineatus (thirteen-lined ground squirrel)
Lineage: Eukaryota; Metazoa; Chordata; Mammalia; Rodentia; Sciuridae
Source: Rfam